UGCCAUAUCAACGCCGGUUCUCAUACGAUCAUCGAAGUUAAGCAACGUCGACCCUGGUCAGUACCUAGAUGAGUGACCGCUUGGGAAAACCAGGU
Acanthosepion pharaonis is the source of this 95-nucleotide non-coding RNA. NCBI's taxonomy places the organism in Eukaryota, Metazoa, Mollusca, Cephalopoda, Sepiida, Sepiidae. The record is from the annotation of a GenBank genome assembly.